This 1795-nucleotide small RNA is filed under the name Pan troglodytes (chimpanzee). RNAcentral describes it as "retained intron". Lineage: Eukaryota; Metazoa; Chordata; Mammalia; Primates; Hominidae. The record is from RNAcentral.
GUGAACGCGGGCGCCCUUGUUUGGGAGCGCGGCCGGCGCGCCCGUUUUGAAGCUGCCGGGAGCAGCGCGGGCCGGACCGCGCCCCCUCCUCGGUCCCCGCGCCCCGCGAGUCCGCGCAGUUCCCGAGGCGCGGGCCCUGUUCCCCGCGCCGCGCCCCCUCAGCGGGCCGUGUUCGCAUCACCGAGGUCGGUCCGGGCCGGACCGAAGCCCCCGGGGCGGGGCGGGGCGCGGGCGUCCGGGGGCGCCCCGGGCCCAGCCCCCGCCAUGCCGCCCGGCAAAGUGCUGCAGCCGGUCCUGAAGAUGAAGGUGGACGAGCUGUUCCUGUACUGGCUCAGCGAGGCCAGCACGCAGCGGAUGCUGCAGGACUGCUUGCGCCGGAUCAAGGCGCCCGGGCGGGACCAGCCGACCGCGGGGGACGGGGAGCAGCCCGGGGCCUGGCCCACAGCCCCGCUCGCCGCCCCCAGGCCCAGCGGGCUCGAACCCCCGGGAACCCCCGGGCCGGGCCCUGCGCUGCCCCUGGGCGCCGCCUCCAGCCCCAGGAACGCGCCCCACGCUCGAGGCACCCGUAGAUCCGCAGGGACGAGAGUAGCGGUGUUUUAACGUCACAGAAUGAGAUCGAAUGUCCACCUCGCAGGUUGUGUAGAGAUGCAAGCAGGAGACUCUUGAGUUCAGACGCGGAAAGAAGAGCCUCUGCCCCCGGCUACGAGCCAAAGCAUUCCGACCUUCUACUUCCCCAGAGGACGCCCGCAGGACUCCGUCAACGUGGAUGCCGUCAUCAGCAAGAUCGAGAGCACCUUCGCCCGGUUCCCCCACGAGAGGGCCACCAUGGACGACAUGGGCCUGGUGGCCAAGGACGUGGUGAACACGCACCCGGGGCUGUCGUUCCUGAAGGAGGCGUCCGAGUUCCACUCGCGCUACAUCACCACGGUCAUCCAGCGGAUCUUCUACGCCGUGAACCGGUCCUGGUCCGGCAGGAUCACCUGCGCCGAGCUGCGGAAGAGCUCCUUCCUGCAGAAUGUGGCGCUGCUGGAGGAGGAGGAGGACAUCAACCAGCUGACCGAAUUCUUCUCGUACGAGCAUUUCUACGUCAUCUACUGCAAGUUCUGGGAGCUGGACACGGACCACGACCUGCUCAUCGACGCGGACGACCUGGCGCGGCACAAUGACCACGGUGCGCGGGGGCACAGGGGCGGGCGGGCCGCGCGGACACCGAGCACACCCUUCUUCUCUCAGGGCCUGCGGGUCUGCAGCUGCCUCUCCUCCCGCACUCCCCGCUCUGUGUCUGCAGCUGCCUCUCCUCCCGCACUCCCCGCUCUGUGUCUGCAGCUGCCUCUCCUUCCCCACUCGCUGCCCGGUAUCUGGGUCCCCGCGUACGCCUCUGCCCGAGGCCUCUGCCUGCCGGCGUCUACAGGGUCAGUGUGGGCCGCUGGUCCUGAAGCUCCUGGCCCGAGGGCCAGCAGCGCUGUGGGGCUUCCUUGUUAACACCCGAGCAAGGGCGGGCAGACCACACGCCUUCCCUCAGGAGCUCCAGGUUGCAGCCCCCAAGGCCUGGAGCAGUUUCCAUCCAAUCCCGGACUAGGUGGCGCCCCAGGCUUAGCGGUCGUUCAAAUAUUUCCGCGGGAGCCGGUGCCGCCCAGGUGUCCUCAAAGCAGCCACCGCCUCCCGGCCCCUCUAAGAGUCAUCCACACUUGCAGGAACUCAAAGCGGCCUGUGGCCUGUAGGGCUUGAGUUUUCUAAAGGAUUCUUUUAAGUGUGCUUUUUACCCCAAAAAACCAUAUGACCAAGACUGUUACCG